Molecule: ribosomal RNA, 479 nt
Filed under: Streptococcus sp. oral taxon C14
Lineage: Bacteria; Bacillati; Bacillota; Bacilli; Lactobacillales; Streptococcaceae
Description: bacterial SSU rRNA
Rfam family: Bacterial small subunit ribosomal RNA
Source: RNAcentral
AUUGAACGCUGGCGGCAGGCUUAACACAUGCAAGUCGAACGGUAACAUAAAGAAGCUUGCUUCUUUGAUGACGAGUGGCGGACGGGUGAGUAAUGCUUGGGAAUCUAGCUUAUGGAGGGGGAUAACUACGGGAAACUGUAGCUAAUACCGCGUAAUAUCGAAAGAUUAAAGUGUGGGACCUUCGGGCCACAUGCCAUAGGAUGAGCCCAAGUGGGAUUAGGUAGUUGGUGAGGUAAAGGCUCACCAAGCCGACGAUCUCUAGCUGGUCUGAGAGGAUGACCAGCCACACUGGGACUGAGACACGGCCCAGACUCCUACGGGAGGCAGCAGUGGGGAAUAUUGCGCAAUGGGGGCAACCCUGACGCAGCCAUGCCGCGUGAAUGAAGAAGGCCUUCGGGUUGUAAAGUUCUUUCGGUAGCGAGGAAGGCAUUUAGUUUAAUAGACUAGGUGAUUGACGUUAACUACAGAAGAAGCACCGG